UACGGAGGGAGCUAGCGUUGUUCGGAAUUACUGGGCGUAAAGCGUGCGUAGGUGGUUCGUUAAGUCUGAUGUGAAAGCCCUGGGCUCAACCUGGGAAUGGCAUUGGAUACUGGCGACCUAGAGUGCGGUAGAGGGGUGUGGAAUUCCCGGUGUAGCAGUGAAAUGCGUAGAUAUCGGGAGGAACACCAGUGGCGAAGGCGACUUCCUGGCCUGUUCUUGACGCUGAGGCGCGAAAGCUAGGGGAGCAAACGGG
Molecule: ribosomal RNA, 253 nt
Filed under: uncultured bacterium
Lineage: Bacteria
Description: partial 16S ribosomal RNA
Rfam family: Bacterial small subunit ribosomal RNA
Source: RNAcentral